AAAGGAUUAGUUAAUCAAAAUAACAUCAGAAUGUCAAACUGAAAUAACCAAAACUAAGGUAUCCUUUU
RNAcentral lists this transfer RNA (68 nucleotides) under Dolichorhinotermes longilabius. RNAcentral's name for it is "tRNA-Asp". Lineage: Eukaryota; Metazoa; Arthropoda; Insecta; Blattodea; Rhinotermitidae. The record is from RNAcentral.